This 253-nucleotide ribosomal RNA is filed under the name uncultured bacterium. RNAcentral's name for it is "partial 16S ribosomal RNA". It matches the Rfam family "Bacterial small subunit ribosomal RNA", at positions 524 to 776 of the family's 1533-position model. The record is from RNAcentral.
GACAGAGGGUGCAAACGUUGUUCGGAAUUACUGGGCGUAAAGCGCGUGUAGGUGGCGUGGCAAGUCGGGUGUGAAAGCCCUGGGCUCAACCCGGGAAGUGCAUUCGAUACUGCCAAGCUAGAGUCCCGGAGAGGAUGGUGGAACUCUCGGUGUAGAGGUGAAAUUCGUAGAUAUCGAGAAGAACACCAGUGGCGAAGGCGGCUACCUGGACUGACACUGACACUGAGAUACGAAAGCGUGGGGAGCAAACAGG